This 578-nucleotide ribosomal RNA is filed under the name uncultured bacterium. RNAcentral's name for it is "bacterial SSU rRNA". It matches the Rfam family "Bacterial small subunit ribosomal RNA", at positions 273 to 847 of the family's 1533-position model. The record is from RNAcentral.
GCGACGAUGUCUAGGGGUUCUGAGAGGAAGGUCCCCCACACUGGUACUGAGACACGGACCAGACUCCUACGGGAGGCAGCAGUGAGGAAUAUUGGUCAAUGGGCUUACGCCUGAACCAGCCAAGUCGCGUGAGGGAAGACUGCCCUAUGGGUUGUAAACCUCUUUUGUCAGGGAGCAACGCCGGCUACGUGUAGCCGGACUGAGAGUACCUGAAGAAAAAGCAUCGGCUAACUCCGUGCCAGCAGCCGCGGUAAUACGGAGGAUGCGAGCGUUAUCCGGAUUUAUUGGGUUUAAAGGGUGCGUAGGCGGAAUGCCAAGUCAGCGGUAAAAUCGCGGGGCUCAACCUCGCUCCGCCGUUGAAACUGGCGUUCUUGAGUGGGCGAGAAGUAUGCGGAAUGCGUGGUGUAGCGGUGAAAUGCAUAGAUAUCACGCAGAACUCCGAUUGCGAAGGCAGCAUACCGGCGCCCAACUGACGCUGAAGCACGAAAGCGUGGGUAUCGAACAGGAUUAGAUACCCUGGUAGUCCACGCAGUAAACGAUGAAUACUAGCUGUUCGGGGCAAUUGGGCCUUGAGUGGC